CGCGACGUUAAACUAAUACAUAACAUACAUACAUACCUCUCUCCCAGCACCAGUCAACACAGGGCGAAAACCCCGGCCAUCCAUAACAGAGCCACUAAUAAAGCUCUAAUGCAGGGAUGUCCAUGUAAUUUCAUCACAACAAUAAGGUACCCGCCAUAUUCUAUGGUAUCCUUGCACGGCUCGCGCUGGAGCAGGCAUCAACCUGGGCUCUCCAACAAGUGCAAACCAUGACGCAUCUUUGGUUUAAUCAGGGCACGGAAGCGCCUGUUGUUCGGCUUUUGCUUUACCUUUCAUUCGUCAGAGGUUGCAUUUCUUAUAAUCGUUUCAAAAUGUUCAAAAUCCUGCCUGUAUUUCCAAUAUAGAGAAAAACUCAAGUGUUGCGCCCGAAGGAAGAAGAAAAACUUAAAAUAAAGACGGAUAUCAAACACUUAACCGCAGCAACACUCCUGAGCCUAUUAAUAUCAAUCAUCAUUAAAGAAAUAUCAAACAGGCAAUUCUCCACCUCUCCCUCUCCUCCCUCCGGCCGUUCCAAUGAACACUAGCAGUCUCUUCAACGGUGGUCCCACCACAGGCACAGACCCCACGAAUCCACUUAAUGUAACCAAAAAGUCCCCAAAUAGUACGAAGAGACCGUAUAAUUCGACGCAGAAUCCCGUCAGCGGCCAGCGGAAGAGGAUUAGCAGGAUUCCUAGCACGAAAGUUAUGGUUCCUGUGAGUUUUUGGCGGCGAGCAAAGAAGGAGAGGGUUUUGGACGGGCCGAGGAUCAAGGGGAGGCCGAUUAAGAAAAGGAUCUGUGAGGGAUUGGUUAGAUGUAUGUGUUGGGGGUGCUUGAUUUUUAGUUCCGGAAGGGCUUGUGUUAGUUGUCGGCACGUACGUUUCCCAUGGCGAGGAGCGAUCGAUCAAAAAACAUCAUAAUGCCCAAAAAGAGGAAUAACGCCCCUAUAUAUUAAAAGGAGGUCUCAGACGGAGUGGAUAAAAAAUGUCUUUUUUUUUCUCUCUAUUUGUGCUCAUUUGGGGCUCCAAGAGGUUGAUAGUGAUGGUUCGUCUGUAAUCGCCAGUCGGAAUUGGUUGUGACUGGUGGGAAGAAAGGAAGGGAAAUCGUAGAUAUGCUUCACAUACCGCCAGAACAAAACACCACCCCAAACUUCUGCAUAUCUGAUAACCACAUCGUCGGCAUAUUGGCGGUUAUAUUUUUAUAUUUUCCCUUCGGAAGGGCUACUAUCCCUUUUCUUUCCCGCUGCCCGUGGGAGGAUAGAUAGUUAUAGGUAGAGCGUAUUCUCAGCUCUUCUUCCGGCGCAUAGCACGCUUUGAGCUAAUGAUGGCAAUAUAUGGUAUAAAUAACGACCGACGAUAGAAUAGGGUUAAGAGGAGGUCGGGACUGGACUCGGAAGUUUAUUGGACUCGAAUGGUGUACCGGGGACUUUCGGUGCGCGCGGGGGGAUGGGUAGUCAUACGGAUAGGCGCGUGGCUUCACAUUGAUCUCUGAGAAUUGUGAGCAACAAGACAACA
This 1509-nucleotide small RNA is filed under the name Histoplasma capsulatum. Its description in RNAcentral is "hypothetical RNA". Lineage: Eukaryota; Fungi; Ascomycota; Eurotiomycetes; Onygenales; Ajellomycetaceae. The record is from RNAcentral. RNAcentral also lists the same sequence under 1 other name.